GAUGAACGCUGGCGGCGUGCCUAACACAUGCAAGUCGAACGAAUUACUUUAAAGGAAGUUUUCGGAUGGAAUUUAAAGUAGUUAGUGGCGGACGGGUGAGUAACGCGUGGGAAACCUGCCCUAUACAGGGGGAUAGCCUCGGGAAACUGGGAUUAAUACCCCAUAAAACUCUAGUAUCGCAUGAUACAUGAGCCAAAGAUUUAUCGGUAUAGGAUGGUCCCGCGUCUGAUUAGCUAGUUGGUGAGGUAACGGCUCACCAAGGCGACGAUCAGUAGCCGGCCUGAGAGGGUGAACGGCCACACUGGAACUGAGACACGGUCCAGACUCCUACGGGAGGCAGCAGUGGGGAAUAUUGCACAAUGGGGGAAACCCUGAUGCAGCGACGCCGCGUGAGCGAAGAAGGCCUUCGGGUCGUAAAGCUCUGUCCUAAGGGAAGAAACGGACGGUACCUUAGGAGGAAGCCCCGGCUAACUACGUG
RNAcentral lists this ribosomal RNA (478 nucleotides) under uncultured bacterium. RNAcentral describes it as "bacterial SSU rRNA". It matches the Rfam family "Bacterial small subunit ribosomal RNA", at positions 28 to 507 of the family's 1533-position model. The record is from RNAcentral.